GCUAAACGCGAAGAACCUUACCAAGGCUUGACAUGGAUUUCUAAGCACGUGAAAGCGUGUGACCCUUCGGGGGACUUCCACAGGUGCUGCAUGGCCGUCGUCAGCUCGUGUCGUGAAAAUGUUGGGUUAAGUCCCGUAACGAGCGCAACCCUUGUCCUUAGUUACCAGCACGUUAUGGUGGGCACUCUAAGGAGACUGCCGGUGACAAACCGGAGGAGGGUGGGGAUGACGUCAAGUCAUCAUGGCCCUUACGGCCUGGGCUACACACGUGCUACAAUGGUCGGUACAGAGGGUUGCCAAGCCGCGAGGUGGAGCUAAUCUCACAAAACCGAUCGUAGUCCGGAUCGCAGUCUGCAACUCGACUGCGUGAAGUCGGAAUCGCUAGUAAUCGCGGAUCAGAACGCCGCGGUGAAUACGUUCCCGGGUCUUGUACACACCG
This 439-nucleotide ribosomal RNA is filed under the name uncultured bacterium. RNAcentral describes it as "bacterial SSU rRNA". It matches the Rfam family "Bacterial small subunit ribosomal RNA", at positions 954 to 1392 of the family's 1533-position model. The record is from RNAcentral.